GACGAACGCUGGCGGCGUGCCUAAUACAUGCAAGUAGAACGCACAGUUUAUACCGUAGCUUGCUACACCAUAAACUGUGAGUUGCGAACGGGUGAGUAACGCGUAGGUAACCUGCCUGGUAGCGGGGGAUAACUAUUGGAAACGAUAGCUAAUACCGCAUAAUAUUGAUUAUUGCAUGAUAAUUGAUUGAAAGAUGCUAUUGCAUCACUACCAGAUGGACCUGCGUUUUAUUAGCUAGUAGGUGAGGUAACGGCCCACCUAGGCGACGAUACAUAGCCGACCUGAGAGGGUGCUCGGCCACCCUGGGACUGAGACACGGCCCAGACUCCUACGGGAGGCAGCAGUAGGGAAUCUUCGGCAAUGGACGAAAGUCUGACCGAGCAACGCCGCGUGAGUGAAGAAGGUUUUCGGAUCGUAAAGCUCUGUUGUGAGGGAAGAACGGGUGUGAGAGUGGAAAGUUCACACUGUGACGGUAUCUUACCAGAAAGGGACGGCUAACUACGUG
This 505-nucleotide ribosomal RNA is filed under the name uncultured bacterium. Its description in RNAcentral is "partial 16S ribosomal RNA". It matches the Rfam family "Bacterial small subunit ribosomal RNA", at positions 28 to 507 of the family's 1533-position model. The record is from RNAcentral.